Molecule: long non-coding RNA, 558 nt
Filed under: Homo sapiens (human)
Lineage: Eukaryota; Metazoa; Chordata; Mammalia; Primates; Hominidae
Description: long intergenic non-protein coding RNA 2149
Source: RNAcentral
GACAAGGGGAAGACACCAAAUCCCUGGACUCAGGCCUCACAUGAUUGAGUGAGAGGAACUCUGCUGUCAGACCCUACAAUGCACUCUUCAGUGGAAGAGGAUCACACAUUCCAAACAUACUCCAUCAGGUCAUAUGUUAAAUGACAGGGCUGAGACCUCUCCACAGCACAUCUGAUACUGGGAUCGAUGAAGAUCAGAUGUGCAAAUCACACUGGGCUCCGGAAAGCCCUAGACUGUGUCAUUCAAGAUGUGUGACAUGGAUAAAAAGCUCCCCAUAGUGGAAAGAGGUGCCAUAAAACACUAGACAAUGAGAGCAAGAUGGGGGACCCAAAAUGGUGCCCUGGCAUCGGCAAGUGGUGAAACCAGCCAUCUGGCCCUGUGCCCUGUCCUCAGAAGUGCCCCUGCCGCCCCAGCAGGUACAUUUGCAGGUGAAGAAUUUCUUUCGCUUUAGUGUCCUGGGAACCAAGUAUUUUCUGUUGGUGGUGUUUCUCUUGCACCAGAUGAAUUUUUGCCUCGCUUACCUGAGACUUAGACUGUCCCAAUUCCAGUCUCCACUGA